Molecule: ribosomal RNA, 253 nt
Filed under: uncultured prokaryote
Description: partial 16S ribosomal RNA
Rfam family: Bacterial small subunit ribosomal RNA
Source: RNAcentral
UACAGAGGGUGCAAGCGUUGUUCGGAAUUAUUGGGCGUAAAGGGUGCGUAGGCGGUGCGGUAAGUCUCUUGUGAAAUCUCCGGGCUCAACUCGGAGCCUGCUUCCGAAACUGCUGUGCUCGAGUGUGGGAGAGGCGCGUGGAAUUGCAGGUGUAGCGGUGAAAUGCGUAGAUAUCUGCAGGAACACCCGUGGCGAAAGCGGCGCACUGGACCAUAACUGACGCUGAGACGCGAAAGCGUGGGGAGCAAACAGG